UUCUAGAGAUAGAAAGUACUUCGGUACAUCGGUGACAGGUGGUGCAUGGUUGUCGUCAGCUCGUGUCGUGAGAUGUUGGGUUAAGUCCCGCAACGAGCGCAACCCCUAUUGUUAGUUGCCAUCAUUCAGUUGGGCACUCUAGCGAGACUGCCGGUAAUAAACCGGAGGAAGGUGGGGAUGACGUCAAAUCAUCAUGCCCCUUAUGACCUGGGCUACACACGUACUACAAUGGCCGUUACAACGGGAAGCGAAGGAGCAAUCCGGAGCAAAUCCCUUAAAGGCGGUCCCAGUUCAGAUUGUGGGCUGAAACUCGCCCACAUGAAGGCGGAAUUGCUAGUAAUUGCAGAUCAGCAUGCUGCAGUGAAUACGUUCCCGGGCCUU
This 381-nucleotide ribosomal RNA is filed under the name uncultured Streptococcus sp. RNAcentral's name for it is "bacterial SSU rRNA". It matches the Rfam family "Bacterial small subunit ribosomal RNA", at positions 996 to 1382 of the family's 1533-position model. Lineage: Bacteria; Bacillati; Bacillota; Bacilli; Lactobacillales; Streptococcaceae. The record is from RNAcentral.